AACGAACGCUGGCGGCAGGCCUAACACAUGCAAGUCGAACGAGAAGCCACCUUCGGGUGGUGGACAGUGGCAGACGGGUGAGUAACGCGUGGGAACGUGCCUUUCGGUUCGGAAUAACCCAGGGAAACUUGGGCUAAUACCGAAUACGCCCUUCGGGGGAAAGAUUUAUUGCCGAAAGAUCGGCCCGCGUCGGAUUAGCUUGUUGGUGGGGUAAAAGCCUACCAAGGCGACGAUCCGUAGCUGGUCUGAGAGGAUGAUCAGCCACACUGGGACUGAGACACGGCCCAGACUCCUACGGGAGGCAGCAGUGGGGAAUAUUGGACAAUGGGCGAAAGCCUGAUCCAGCCAUGCCGCGUGGGUGAAGAAGGCCCUAGGGUUGUAAACCCCUUUCAGCGGGGAAGAUAAUGACGGUACCC
RNAcentral lists this ribosomal RNA (416 nucleotides) under uncultured Hyphomicrobiales bacterium. Its description in RNAcentral is "bacterial SSU rRNA". It matches the Rfam family "Bacterial small subunit ribosomal RNA", at positions 29 to 480 of the family's 1533-position model. The record is from RNAcentral. Lineage: Bacteria; Pseudomonadati; Pseudomonadota; Alphaproteobacteria; Hyphomicrobiales.